CCCCUAUGUACCUCAGAGGAACUUUCAUGUUGCAUCUAUCAUGACAUUCCUCAUCUCAGUGCCUAUCAGUCUCACCUCGGUGCCAGGGGAGGUCACGGAACGGAUAAUCUCGGGAACCAUCAUGGACCAACUAAAGGUCAACCAGGGGAUCAGGCCCAGUCAGCAUGGGUUUAUGAACGGACCUCCAUUUGCACCUCAGCCAGUAUGCACCGGGCUCACAGUUAGCGGUUGGGUUUAAUCCUUUUACUCCUUGUGUGAAGGAAUGCACACCCACCGGCAGCUCUCCUCAGCUCAGGCUCAUCCUCCUCUCCUCCAAAGGGCCUGAGUAUGGAUCUUUGCCUUUACUCAGUGCUCUCUACACUAUUUCCAGCCUUGGCACUCUUUCAGCAAAAUUAAGAGGAUAAGAAGAGCUUUGCUGCACGAGCUAUCAAAUGCUUCUCCCUAUCUGUGAAGUGCCACAAAGGCUGCUGCGAAGCGUCCUUUUUCCAGCCCAGGUAGCUCUUUACAGCUGCUCUAUGCUUUUUACUGGGUUAUCUGCAGAAGCUCCUUGUGUUUCCACUGUUUGUAAAUUGUGUUUCUUUCUGCUGUGUUCCCUCCUUUCCGCAUUCUCCACACUCACCAUAACUCACUGCACACUGUAUCUCUGCCUCCCAAGAAGAGGUUAAUUUUGGUUGACUGAAAUAUGCAGUGGGGACAUGGGAGAAUCUCCUGUCCCUGUAGUUACAUGCUUCUACUCUUUUCCAAAGCCAAACAAUAAAAUACAACUGGGAAAGACACAACAGUGUUGCCGCUCUGUCAACACGGGCAGUGAUGUUACUUGUCAACAUAAGUGUGCCCAAAGGUUUGGUUUGCUGCUGCUGCUUGGAUUGUGGAACAACCAGGAUGGCUUUGUGAGCCUGGGAACAUGCAAAACUCCAAUGAGAAGCAGCCCCUGGCCUGAGGAGCUGCAGCACUGUUGGACAGACAGACAGGGAGAAGUCACGGAGACGGUGCUGGGAUGAGGAGUAAUUAAUCCCAGGCUUCUGCUAUUGGAGGGCUCUCCAGGGCCCUGAGUUGACCACUAAAGCAGGCACCAACUCUAAGGAGAUUUUAUAGUCCCUUUUACUCAAUCAGUGAACGUUUAAGGCAAUAUUUUGACAUUCCUGUAUUGAUUUUACUCUGUGUAUCUCUGGCGAGCCAUUUUGCUGCAGCACCAGCUCACUGAGCAAGCAGUUUUAAGCUGAACGGAUGCCUCCUAGCUUUAGAGUCCUUCUUGGAGAUGCUGUUGUCCACCUGAAGGACAGCUUUGCCCUGGUGUGAUUUGAGACUGGCUGGUGGAUGCGGCUUGUGAAAGGUGCUGAGAGUCUGUUGCCUAAAAGUCUAAUAAAAUCAAAUGCUGUGAC
This is a long non-coding RNA of Gallus gallus (chicken), 1382 nucleotides long. RefSeq lists it as uncharacterized. The record is from RefSeq and is marked validated. NCBI's taxonomy places the organism in Eukaryota, Metazoa, Chordata, Aves, Galliformes, Phasianidae. The transcript has 3 exons.